RNAcentral lists this ribosomal RNA (254 nucleotides) under uncultured bacterium. RNAcentral's name for it is "partial 16S ribosomal RNA". It matches the Rfam family "Bacterial small subunit ribosomal RNA", at positions 524 to 777 of the family's 1533-position model. The record is from RNAcentral.
UACAGGGGGUGCAAACGUUGCUCGGAAUCAUUGGGCGUAAAGCGCACGUAGGCGGUUCGUUAUGUCGGAUGUGAAAGCCCUUGGCUUAACCGAGGAAGUGCAUCCGAAACUGGCGAGCUAGAGUACGAAAGAGGAUCGCGGAAUUCCCGGUGUAGAGGUGAAAUUCGUAGAUAUUCGCAAGAACACCAGUGGCGAAGGCGGCUCACUGGCCCGAUACUGACGCUGAGGCACGAAAGCGUGGGGAGCAAACAGGG